Molecule: long non-coding RNA, 1366 nt
Filed under: Nicotiana tabacum (common tobacco)
Lineage: Eukaryota; Viridiplantae; Streptophyta; Magnoliopsida; Solanales; Solanaceae
Description: long non-coding RNA (NTAB_LNC014120)
Source: RNAcentral
UCAGCACCAAAUUUGUUGAAGGCUUCAGGGAUAACAAAUCCAGCAGCACCGAGCAUAGCCCAUCUAGCGUGGAUCAACUCAUAUGCCUGAUAUCUACAGUAGAUCGAGCAUAUUAACAUUAAAAUCUAUCUCCACAAACAACACGAACGAAAUUGGCUGAGAGUAUACUUAAUUAAUGUGUCACCGCACUUACUUAGCAAAGUCUUCUGGCUUCUUGCUGAGACCAAAGGGAUCGUAACCGUAGCUGCAGCAAAUACAGAAAACUUAUUAUACUCGUAAUUUCAUCCCAAGUUUGUAUAUGUGAGCAUGCAAUUCUAGCAAAAAGACGCAAAGAUUAAGGGGGCUUACUCUCCGGGAACUUCUCCGUUCAGGUACUCGGGGAUUUCCGAUCUGUCCAAGAGACCGUCGGGUAGGAAAAUUCUUCUGUCAGGUCCUGUAAGUAGUAUUUAGAUAUCGAGUGUACGCAAAUGAAUAAAAGGGAAGUUGUAAAACGGAGACUACAGGGACUGGGAAUCUCUAGAGGUUCUAUUUGACAUUAUUGUAGUACGUACGGAUUAGCAGCAACAAGCUUAUGAAGGCAGUUAAUUAGGGAAAAUAAAAAGAGAAAAUGUAAUGGAGUACUUCCUCUGUUUCAUUUUACAUGUUAUUCAUCCAUUUUUUGUCUGAUAAUGAAAGAAUGACACAUUUCUUUUUUGAAAAUUCUUUAAUUAUAUACUCAUUUCAAUUUACGCGUCUACAUUAGUAUUUGAGGUAUUUUGAAACAUAUAUGUAGUUUCUAAAUACAUAAAUUUUUUUAAAAAAUCUUUGUCUAAUUUCAUGAUCAAAAUUAAGAACUUUGACUCUGGUGCUCCAAAUCGAGCCAUGUUUUUGCUAAAUGAUAUGCUCGUACAACCAUAAAUUCUAACGAUACAUUUGGCAUGUGCUAGAAGUCCUUUUGAUGUUCUUUCUUAAGCUCAGAGCGCAGUCAAACACCAGUCAUAUAAAAAAAAGGAAGGAGUAUGUUACUCACCGUACCACUUGGCGAGCUCCUCGUCAGCAGGGGCGAUAGCAACAGCCUUCUUAGCAGGGGCAGCAGCAGCCUUCUUUUUGAAGAGGGCAACAGUUUUGAAGGUAGCAGGUGAAGAUGGAGUAGGAGCAGCUGGCCUUGCUACACCGCUGAACUUGACCGGACUUCCCAACAUUUCUGAGACGUAGAGGGAGGUAGCUGCAGCCAUGGCUAACGGUGGAGCCGGAGGAAGUUGAGGCUGAGAUCAGUUGUUAGAGGAAGAGUUGUUGAUGAUGAGAAUUGAGAAACUGAGGAUGGUAUUUGGAGUGGAGAUAUUCACUAAAUGCUUGAUGUGGUGGAUGUAGACGUGCCAAGUGUUGA